GACGUAGGGCGCGAGCGUUGUCCGGAUUUACUGGGCGUAAAGGGCGCGUAGGCGGUCAGCACAAGUCAGUUGUGAAAUCUCCGGGCUUAACUCGGAAAGGUCAACUGAUACUGUGCGACUAGAGUGCGGAAGGGGCAACUGGAAUUCUCGGUGUAGCGGUGAAAUGCGUAGAUAUCGAGAGGAACACCUGCGGCGAAGGCGGGUUGCUGGGCUGACACUGACGCUGAUGCGCGAAAGCCAGGGGAGCGAACGGG
This 254-nucleotide ribosomal RNA is filed under the name uncultured bacterium. Its description in RNAcentral is "partial 16S ribosomal RNA". It matches the Rfam family "Bacterial small subunit ribosomal RNA", at positions 524 to 776 of the family's 1533-position model. The record is from RNAcentral.